RNAcentral lists this long non-coding RNA (4813 nucleotides) under Sus scrofa (pig). RNAcentral's name for it is "lncRNA (ENSSSCG00000059131.1)". Lineage: Eukaryota; Metazoa; Chordata; Mammalia; Artiodactyla; Suidae. The record is from RNAcentral.
CUCUUCCUUAUUUUUUGCUUCUGUUGCCCUUGCAUGCCUAGGUGAACACAUUCUGGAUGAGAAAUGUCCUAUCAGGUCAGGACCAGUCAAGGACCCAGUUUCUGCAAAUACAUCAAUUCUUUCUAAUCUAAUGAUGAGGCUCACACCCAGAACACUCUCAGGUGCUGUGUUUCUCUCCAGGUGGAGCUCCAGACUCUCGGGUGCCAGAUGAUUAAGCCUUGUUUCUAGCAGGGGUUGGAAGCGGCUGCUUCUGUAUCAAACCUCUUUUUCUCUCGGCCAGUUGCGGCAGAGUCUACACCCAGCUGUGAUGCGAGGUGCCCACUGGCAGCUCUCAUCUCUACCGACAACCUUUCAUCUCCAUUCUCUAUAAACUUUUCUUAAUAUCUGCUUGUUAAACCUGACAGAAUGGCAUUAGAACAAAGCUAACCUGGCUGCUGAAAUGCUGGCAGCAUCAUCUGUCAGGCUUUUUUUGCUUCUUCCUUUGAUAAAGUUUUGCUGGGCUAUUAUCGUGGAGGCCUUGUUGGAGGGUGCUGAGACCUUGGAGCAGAAAGGCAGCCAUCUGUUGCAGAAAGCUCAAAGGGUGAUGUGGUCCUGGGGUGUAUCCUGAGUUGAGUCAUCUAUUUCUUCUCCCAGAUUAUUCCCAGUGAAUACCAAAUCCAAACCUCCCCAUCUCUGCUUAUAUAAGAACUUUAGAAACCUUUCAAAAUAAAACUUGUAAACUUGGUUGUUCUACUUAAAAAUUCUACCAUGUACUGUAUAGCACAGGGAACUCAGUAUCUUGUAAUAACCUAUACUGGAAAAGAAUCUGUAAAAGAAUAUAUAUGUAUAUUUGAGUCACUGUGCUGUACACUUAAAUCCAACACAACAUUGUAAAUUAAUUAUACUUCAAUUAAAAAAAGAAAAAAAUCUAGAAGCAAGAUUUUAGGCAGUUUCAUAAAAGUCACAAGGAUCCAUUGCUUUCUCUAGGUCUCAGUAAAUUAGCAUCAGAGCAAGGAUGCGAAGUUAGAUCUUCUUAUAUAAAAAAGGAAACAACCUUGUUUGUGGUAUAAUAGGAAGUCUUUGUCCCUCCCUGCUGCUUGAACUGACACGGUCAGAGAUUAGAGUGCUCUCUGAGCAGUGGAGGGGCAAGCUUUGCAAAUUCGUAUGCUAUGGAGCACCUACUGUCUUCAGACCGGCUGAGAACCAUAGCUGGGAGCAGGCAUGCCCAUGGCAGCCAAUUCCAGCUCCAAAACUUUAUCUUAAAGAAUGGCUUUCCACCCACAGUCUUCAUACAGACCUGGUGAAGGUUGGAGAAGAGCCAUGGAAACUACUGUUUAACACUUAACUGGCACAAUCCCUGCCAGAAGAGUAGGUGCUCCACAAAUGCUGUUUGCCAUUUGACUUUAGAAGUACAGCUGACAAGUUAAAUUAGAGGGGGUGGUAGAUCAAAAGUAUUCUUCCUUGAGAAGGGCAUCCGUAAUUUAGUUUGCCAGAUUUAGCCUUUAAACUUCUGGAGCAGCUUCUGCCCACCCACCCCCAUCUCCACCACUGGCCAAGAACAGAUUACAUGGUAGUGUUUAUAGCAUCUUCAUUAGCAUAGUCCUCUCACUUUUCUUUAUAGCUGGAUUUUCACAUUUUAACCUAUGUGAAAGGCAAGUACUAGAUUUGAAAUAUUCUUUGUGAUCAUGCCUGCCUUCUUCCUAGAACGUAACUGGUCUGUAGCUCCCGGUGAAACCUCUGUGAAUGCCAUUGACAUUACACAUCUGGCUGAGGGCGUCAUUCGAAGCUGAAAAAUCACUCUUUUUAUCUCCAGUGCUUCUUCUAUGUGGUUGUAUGUAGGUUGUAUGAGGAAAAAGAUAUUCUCUCAAGAAUUGUGGGUCAUCACUUUGGGAAAAAUGCUGUGGCAUGAUAUUAGUUAAACUCAGUUCAUGUCAACUUCAAGAACAAACAGAUGAGAUGCCUGGUUCUUCACUCCCCCACACCCAUGCUCUCCUCCUCAUAAGCCAUGCCAAGGAGAGCUCCCAUCUCCAGACUUUUUUCCUUAUACGGUGUGGUUUCUGCCAUUAAGAAGUCUGCUUGGACAUGGAAGACUUCAAGCACUAAAUUAUGUCUCCUGUUCCCUGCUCACUGACACAAGUGUGCCAAGGUCCAAAAGAAGAACUGGGUGGGUGUGCCCUAAGAGGAGGCAGUGUUCCUCUUCUAAUUGCCUUAAAAGCUUUUGAAGCCAUUGUCUGGUGGAUCUAAGAAGAUUGAUCUUAAAGGUGUGAGCUCAGAGCUGCAAGUCAGGAGCUCAGAGUUGUAAUUCUUGGGUCGGCAAUGACUCAUUGCAGGGCCUGAGGCAAACUCACUCAUCUUCUCUGUGCACCCAUGUAUUCCUCUGCAGAAGCUGGGGAAAUCAACAUGCAGUUUCCUGAUGGGCUUAUUAUACGGUUUAGGCAUUAAUAAUCAUGGCGAAUAAGUUUGAUGAAAAGCACCCUGAGAUUUUUUUUACCUGCUUGAAACCUCUGCAGAUUUUUAGCAAUCUUUGUUGGUCUUGUUUCCAAGUCUGGACUUCCUUCUUUGGAGGUCUUUCUAAUAGCAGUGAGGAAAUUCAAGUUCCCUUGAAGUUUUGUUCCGAUCCUGGUAAGCACAGAUGAUUUCCUUUAGGAUGGUGCACAUGCUGGUUUUGUAAAAGAGAUCUUCUCACCUACCACAAAGACCUCCCCGCUCCCCUUUAGGACCAGAUGCCAUGCAGUAUGGGAACCAGCUUCUGUGGCGGGACCAUGUUGUUUCUGAGCCCAUCUGGGUAAAAGCCUCCUCGUGGUCUUGGCAGAGCUAUUGUGUCAACCAAGAAGCAUCAUAAAGACAUCCUCCUUUGUUGAUAGUCUUCUCCCAUGUCUGAUGAAACAGCCCUUUUGGGGAUAAAAAAAGUCAAAAUGAAAAAUGGUGUGUCAAUAAAUGGAAAUUAAAUGAAUGUGUUAGUAUUAAUUUGUUACAUUCUACAUGUGCUCCUCUGAAGAAGUGGUGUUUAUAUUCAGGGCCAGCUGCAGACUUCCAGGAUGGUAAAGUCAGAAGGGACCCAAGAGAAAUUGAUCCAGCAGCCCCCACGUGGUUUCCAUCUCAGUCGGAUCCUCCUGUACUUUGCUCACUCACUUCCCUCCUUGGAAAGGAGUACAAUUCCUAAGUGUUAUAGUUUCUGCUCUCUGUCUUCCAUAUUUCAGGUCUCUUGAGUCCUGAAGCAUAUUUCUGUCUCAUCUACUUAACUCUGCUGUUAAAUCUCUACCACCAUGCCUGUCUCUUCAGCUCACCAGAUUUCACACUCAUUUGCCAGUGGCUGUGAAAGGAAAUGACAGCAGAAUUUCUCACGGACUUGGCUCCCAUCCAGCGUGGAAAACUUACUGAGUUGAUGUCUCCCAGAGCCCUGUCUUUAGCUCAGGUGUCCCCAUUUCAUUGGGCUCAGCAGAUUUCCUACAUCUGUGCUGUAUGACAUUGUAAAGAGUUCAAUCUGGAGACUCGUUUUCCCCUUCUGCGUCCCCAUUCCCUGUUUAAGCCUAGGAGCCUCCCCAUAGGUGGAAGACUGAAAAAGUGCAGAUUGUAUCAGCCCUGCUUUUAGCAGUGCCCUGUGGAAUAAGGCACCUCCUGCUCAGUGUUCCCUUGACUGCGUUGAAGGUGUGAACAGACGAGCAAGAUCCAUGAGCUGACAACCAGGCUGUGAGAGCCCCAGAGAUGGUGAGCACAUCUCUGUUAUUGGCUUGGGGGCCCUGGAGGAGAACAAUAGGGUGCAGGCACUCCAUUCUCCUUAACUCACUCAUUCUUUCACCCAGCGGUUACUGAGCUCUUACUGUGCUAUGCACCAGGUUGGCCAUCGAGAUAAGACAUCUGUAAUUUAUUGAAUGUGCAUUGUGGAGCAGAGCCUGUGCUAAGUGGGCGUCUUCCACAAGCUGCAAGAUGGUACUGUGGUUGUCUCUACUUUAAGAAGAGGCAAUUGACACUUAGAGGUGUUAAGUAACAUCACACAGCUGGCGGUGAUGGAACCAGGAUCUGAAGGCAGACAGUCUCAUUCAAAGUCUUGUGUUCUUAACAGCUAUGCUAGGCUGCUUGAAUGCAGGAAUCUUUACUAGACAUCAUGGGAGACCCCAGGACAAUUCCUGCUCCCCAAGAGUUAAUGAUAAAGAAGCAACAAGCACUCAUUGCCCUGCCACGUACACAGUAUAAUCUUGGCCAUGUUGCUUCUCUGUGCCUCAGUUUCCUCAUUCUUAAAAUGGAUGUGAUGAGAAUUCCUAUUUCUUAGGCUUAUUUCAAGAGUUGAAUGUCUUAAAAUAUGCAAAAUAAGACAGUGCUUUGAUCUCCUGAGAGUUGUUAGCUCUUUACUAUUGUUUUUAAUUAUCCACUAUUAAUAUUCACCAUGGAUACAUAGCAGUACUCUCUGUGCAAUUAUGGAAUAGCAGACAUUGUGUUAAUCACUUGGGGAUUUACAGUGAACAGGAUAUAUAGUCUCUGUCCCCUUUUAUUCCUUCAUUGGAGUGAAGGUAACCCCCAAAAUAUUUCUAACAGUAAGGAAGUAAGAGCCCUGUAAGACAACACUCACUCCUGCUUGAGACAGAGAAAAGAAUGUUGAGAUAGGGAGUUCCCCGUUGUGGCGCAGUGGUUAACGAAUCUGACUAGGAACCAUGAGGUUGCGGGUUCGAUCCCUGGCCUUGCUCAGUGGGUUAAGGAUCCGGCGUUGCCAUGAGCUGUGGUGUAGGCUGCAGACACGGCUCGGAUCCCAAGUUGCUGUGGCUCUGGCGUAGGCCGGUGGCUACAGCUCCAAUUCGACCCCUAGCCUGGGAACCUCCAUAUGCCGCGAGAGCGGCCC